RNAcentral lists this transfer RNA (71 nucleotides) under Cavia porcellus (domestic guinea pig). It matches the Rfam family "tRNA". Rfam says of the family: Transfer RNA (tRNA) molecules are approximately 80 nucleotides in length. The record is from Rfam by way of RNAcentral. Lineage: Eukaryota; Metazoa; Chordata; Mammalia; Rodentia; Caviidae.
AGGGAUUUAGCUCAGCGGCAUAAGCACCUGCCUUGCAAGCAGGCAGUCGUGAGUUCGAUUCUCAAUACCGA